GAUGAACGCUGGCGGCGUGCUUAACACAUGCAAGUCGAACGAUGAAGCCCAGCUUGCUGGGUGGAUUAGUGGCGAACGGGUGAGUAACACGUGAGUAACCUGCCCUUGACUCUGGGAUAAGCCUGGGAAACUGGGUCUAAUACUGGAUAUGACUUCUCAUCGCAUGGUGGGGGGUGGAAAGAUUUAUUGGUCUUGGAUGGACUCGCGGCCUAUCAGCUUGUUGGUGAGGUAAGGGCUCACCAAGGCGACGACGGGUAGCCGGCCUGAGAGGGUGACCGGCCACACUGGGACUGAGACACGGCCCAGACUCCUACGGGAGGCAGCAGUGGGGAAUAUUGCACAAUGGGCGCAAGCCUGAUGCAGCGACGCCGCGUGAGGGAUGACGGCCUUCGGGUUGUAAACCUCUUUCAGUAGGGAAGAAGCGAGAGUGACGGUACCUGCAGAAGAAGCGCCGGCUAACUACGUG
This 466-nucleotide ribosomal RNA is filed under the name uncultured bacterium. RNAcentral's name for it is "partial 16S ribosomal RNA". It matches the Rfam family "Bacterial small subunit ribosomal RNA", at positions 28 to 507 of the family's 1533-position model. The record is from RNAcentral.